UCGCACCUACCGAUUGAAUGAUUCCGUGAAAAUUCUGGACUGUGGCUCGGACGCCUUCGGGCGACCUUGCUGUGGGAAGUUAUUUAAACCUCAUCAUUUAGAGGAAGGUGAAGUCGUAACAAGGUUUCCGUAGGUGAACCUGCGGAAGGAUCAUUACCACACCCUCAAAUA
RNAcentral lists this ribosomal RNA (171 nucleotides) under Synura petersenii. RNAcentral describes it as "partial 18S ribosomal RNA". It matches the Rfam family "Eukaryotic small subunit ribosomal RNA", at positions 1676 to 1831 of the family's 1831-position model. Lineage: Eukaryota; Synurophyceae; Synurales; Mallomonadaceae. The record is from RNAcentral.